Molecule: unclassified non-coding RNA, 301 nt
Filed under: fungal sp.
Lineage: Eukaryota; Fungi
Description: partial internal transcribed spacer region
Rfam family: Eukaryotic small subunit ribosomal RNA (bases 1-46)
Source: RNAcentral
AAGUCGUAACAAGGUUUCCGUAGGUGAACCUGCGGAAGGAUCAUUAACACUUUUUUUUUUUUCCUUUUCUUUCACGAGAAAUGGAAAAAUAAAUAUCCAACCCCACUUGAAUGAACUUUUUCAUUUUUCUCCUUUAUUAUAAUAAUAAUAAUGAUUGGAUUUCUUUCCAAUUUAUUAUUAUUAUGAUAUUCUUUUUUUUUACAACCCCAAUCUACCAAACAUGCGAUAGACUGAUAUGAAUUUAAUCAUACAAUUAAAAAAAUGGUUAAAACAACUCUUAGCAACGGAUAUCUUGGCUCUC